UUAAGCGACUAAGCGUACACGGUGGAUGCCCUGGCAGUCAGAGGCGAUGAAGGACGUGCUAAUCUGCGAUAAGCGUCGGUAAGGUGAUAUGAACCGUUAUAACCGGCGAUUUCCGAAUGGGGAAACCCAGUGUGUUUCGACACACUAUCAUUAACUGAAUCCAUAGGUUAAUGAGGCGAACCGGGGGAACUGAAACAUCUAAGUACCCCGAGGAAAAGAAAUCAACCGAGAUUCCCCCAGUAGCGGCGAGCGAACGGGGAGCAGCCCAGAGCCUGAAUCAGUGUGUGUGUUAGUGGAAGCGUCUGGAAAGGCGCGCGAUACAGGGUGACAGCCCCGUACACAAAAAUACACAUACUGUGAGCUCGAUGAGUAGGGCGGGACACGUGGUAUCCUGUCUGAAUAUGGGGGGACCAUCCUCCAAGGCUAAAUACUCCUGACUGACCGAUAGUGAACCAGUACCGUGAGGGAAAGGCGAAAAGAACCCCGGCGAGGGGAGUGAAAAAGAACCUGAAACCGUGUACGUACAAGCAGUGGGAGCACAGAGCAAUCUGUGUGACUGCGUACCUUUUGUAUAAUGGGUCAGCGACUUAUAUUCUGUAGCAAGGUUAACCGAAUAGGGGAGCCGAAGGGAAACCGAGUCUUAACUGGGCGUUAAGUUGCAGGGUAUAGACCCGAAACCCGGUGAUCUAGCCAUGGGCAGGUUGAAGGUUGGGUAACACUAACUGGAGGACCGAACCGACUAAUGUUGAAAAAUUAGCGGAUGACUUGUGGCUGGGGGUGAAAGGCCAAUCAAACCGGGAGAUAGCUGGUUCUCCCCGAAAGCUAUUUAGGUAGCGCCUCGUGAAUUCAUCUCCGGGGGUAGAGCACUGUUUCGGCAAGGGGGUCAUCCCGACUUACCAACCCGAUGCAAACUACGAAUACCGGAGAAUGUUAUCACGGGAGACACACGGCGGGUGCUAACGUCCGUCGUGAAGAGGGAAACAACCCAGACCGCCAGCUAAGGUCCCAAAGUCAUGGUUAAGUGGGAAACGAUGUGGGAAGGCCCAGACAGCCAGGAUGUUGGCUUAGAAGCAGCCAUCAUUUAAAGAAAGCGUAAUAGCUCACUGGUCGAGUCGGCCUGCGCGGAAGAUGUAACGGGGCUAAACCAUGCACCGAAGCUGCGGCAGCGACGCUUAUGCGUUGUUGGGUAGGGGAGCGUUCUGUAAGCCUGCGAAGGUGUGCUGUGAGGCAUGCUGGAGGUAUCAGAAGUGCGAAUGCUGACAUAAGUAACGAUAAAGCGGGUGAAAAGCCCGCUCGCCGGAAGACCAAGGGUUCCUGUCCAACGUUAAUCGGGGCAGGGUGAGUCGACCCCUAAGGCGAGGCCGAAAGGCGUAGUCGAUGGGAAACAGGUUAAUAUUCCUGUACUUGGUGUUACUGCGAAGGGGGGACGGAGAAGGCUAUGUUGGCCGGGCGACGGUUGUCCCGGUUUAAGCGUGUAGGCUGGUUUUCCAGGCAAAUCCGGAAAAUCAAGGCUGAGGCGUGAUGACGAGGCACUACGGUGCUGAAGCAACAAAUGCCCUGCUUCCAGGAAAAGCCUCUAAGCAUCAGGUAACAUCAAAUCGUACCCCAAACCGACACAGGUGGUCAGGUAGAGAAUACCAAGGCGCUUGAGAGAACUCGGGUGAAGGAACUAGGCAAAAUGGUGCCGUAACUUCGGGAGAAGGCACGCUGAUAUGUAGGUGAAGUCCCUCGCGGAUGGAGCUGAAAUCAGUCGAAGAUACCAGCUGGCUGCAACUGUUUAUUAAAAACACAGCACUGUGCAAACACGAAAGUGGACGUAUACGGUGUGACGCCUGCCCGGUGCCGGAAGGUUAAUUGAUGGGGUUAGCGGUAACGCGAAGCUCUUGAUCGAAGCCCCGGUAAACGGCGGCCGUAACUAUAACGGUCCUAAGGUAGCGAAAUUCCUUGUCGGGUAAGUUCCGACCUGCACGAAUGGCGUAAUGAUGGCCAGGCUGUCUCCACCCGAGACUCAGUGAAAUUGAACUCGCUGUGAAGAUGCAGUGUACCCGCGGCAAGACGGAAAGACCCCGUGAACCUUUACUAUAGCUUGACACUGAACAUUGAGCCUUGAUGUGUAGGAUAGGUGGGAGGCUU
RNAcentral lists this ribosomal RNA (2133 nucleotides) under Escherichia coli HVH 195 (3-7155360). RNAcentral's name for it is "bacterial LSU rRNA". It matches the Rfam family "Bacterial large subunit ribosomal RNA", at positions 1 to 2157 of the family's 2925-position model. Lineage: Bacteria; Pseudomonadati; Pseudomonadota; Gammaproteobacteria; Enterobacterales; Enterobacteriaceae. The record is from RNAcentral.